Long non-coding RNA from Ictalurus punctatus (channel catfish), 987 nucleotides. Lineage: Eukaryota; Metazoa; Chordata; Actinopteri; Siluriformes; Ictaluridae. The record is from Ensembl.
UUUUUUUUUUUAAUUGCAAGCUCCUCUGAAUACCGCAGAGUUUCCUUGAUUUUGCUUUCAUGUCUGUGAUCGCAUAAUCCUGGAGGGACCGGUAAGUAGUCUGUGACCUGGUCAUUCACAACAGAAGUAAGCUGUAAGCAAAUACUCAUACACACUUCAUCAGCUUAUACUGGCUCUUCAAUAAAUACAAGAAGUGCUUCAACUGAUAAUGCAAAGCAAUGAAAAUGUGUACCAUUCGUCAGCGUCUUUACGCCACGCCGGUCGUUCGUCGGCGUCUUUACAGUAAAGGUUGUCGUUCGUCGGCGUCUUUACAGUAAAGGUUGUCGUUCGUCGGCGUCUUUACAGUAAGGCUGUCGUUCGUCGGCGUCUUUACAGUAAAGGUUGUCGUUCGUCGGCGUCUUUACAGUAAAGGUUGUCGUUCGUCGGCGUCUUUACAGUAAGGCUGUCGUUCGUCGGCGUCUUUACAGUAAGGCUGUCGUUCAUCGCGUCUUUACAGUAAGGCUGUCGUUCGUCGGCGUCUUUACAGUAAGGCUGUCGUUCGUCGGCGUCUUUACAGUAAGGCUGUCGUUCGUCGGCGUCUUUACAGUAAGGCUGUCGUUCGUCGGCGUCUUUACAGUAAGGCUGUCGUUCGUCGGCGUCUUUACAGUAAGGCUGUCGUUCGUCGGCGUCUUUACAGUAAAGGUUGUCGUUCGUCGGCGUCUUUACAGUAAGGCUGUCGUUCGUCGGCGUCUUUACAGUAAAGGUUGUCGUUCGUCGGCGUCUUUACAGUAAGGCUGCCGUUCGUCGGCGUCUUUACAGUAAGGCUGUCGUUCGUCGGCGUCUUUACAGUAAAGGUUGUCGUUCGUCGGCGUCUUUACAGUAAAGGUUGUCGUUCGUCGGCGUCUUUACAGUAAAGGUUGUCGUUCGUCGGCGUCUUUACAGUAAAGGUUGUCGUUCGUCGGCGUCUUUACAGUAAGGCUGUCGUUCGUCGGCGUCUUUACAGUAAAG